UACGUAGGUGGCAAGCGUUGUCCGGAUUUAUUGGGUUUAAAGGGUGCGUAGGCGGUUGUAUAAGUCAGUGCUGAAAUAUCCCAGCUUAACUGGGAGGGUGGCAUUGAUACUGUAUGACUUGAGUAGAGUUGAGGUUGGCGGAAUUGACGGUGUAGCGGUGAAAUGCUUAGAUAUCGUCAAGAACACCGAUAGUGAAGACAGCUAACUAAGCUCUAACUGACGCUGAGGCACGAAAGUGUGGGGAUCAAACAGGA
RNAcentral lists this ribosomal RNA (254 nucleotides) under uncultured bacterium. RNAcentral's name for it is "partial 16S ribosomal RNA". It matches the Rfam family "Bacterial small subunit ribosomal RNA", at positions 524 to 777 of the family's 1533-position model. The record is from RNAcentral.